Solanum verrucosum is the source of this 1096-nucleotide long non-coding RNA. RefSeq lists it as uncharacterized. The record is from RefSeq and is a predicted model, not a curated record. Lineage: Eukaryota; Viridiplantae; Streptophyta; Magnoliopsida; Solanales; Solanaceae. The transcript is spliced from 2 exons.
GUAUCAUCUUCUCUCCUCUUCCCGGAACAUCUUUCAUCUCCAGAUCUACUCAUCGUCAUUUUUCUGCUUCUGAAUCGGUACGCAGAUCCAUGUAGAUCGUUCGCCGAUCUACAGUUCGAGUAUGGUUUCGACUUGUAUCGGACAUCGAUUCCCUGCGAAAUGGUUAUGAAUUCAGAUUUGUUUAGAUCGUUUGCCGAUCUAUCAUUUCUGAGUUUUGUCGGUAUGAAUAUUGCUCGGACCAUGGACGAUGCUAUCGGCUAGAUGAAGAUUGGAUAGAUCUGAUGGAUUUGUUACGAGAUUGAGAGAUGUAUGGCCUUUUCAAGGAGAGUUCUCGGUGAUCUGAGAUGAUUUUUUGACCUUCAAUUGGUGGAGGCUUCGUUGUUCGCGGAUAUAGUUUUGUCGGUUAUCAUCGUUUCAAUCGGGUGAUUUUACUGUAUCUCUGUAGAGCUCGGUGCGAUUGGAUAUCACUGGUGUUCUAUUUAUGCUAGAUCUCGAGGGAUGGUAAUCGGCAAGCUUGAGGUUGUUAGAUAAGGUUAUCAUAGUUAAAUUUGUUGUCUAUUCUCAGCUUAAUUAUUAAAAUUUGCAUUAGUUUUACUGAUAUGCAUGCAUAUGUAUGAGGAAAUAAUGAGAUCGUAGAGAAAAGAGAGGAUAUGUGAGGUUCUUUAUUGUUGUUUACCGGCCUUUGCCAUGCCGGGUGCGCUCGCAUGGCAGGUCACAAAACCUAAUAAAGAUGCGAUUUUUGUGUUUGGAGGGGAGAUGGUACGGGAUUUUUAGCCCGACUCUCCUCUCUGUGUCUUGUCUUUGGCCUCCCUUCUCUGUUUUCUAGAAUUGUCUGCAACAUCUACUCAGAUAAACGUCUCAUCAAAUUUGGCGUUAAUGUCCCCGAACGAUGGUUUGGUUAUCUGUCAAGUUAUAGCAGCGCUCUACCUUUUCAAGGGAUAGGUAUAUCAUGCACUCUUAAUACAACAAUGGACAGGCGUAUUCUAGGAUUAUUCAGCUCCACACUCCUACCAAAGGUACACUUAUGAAUUCCUUUCACUAACUUUGACAUUAACUUUAAUAGCUUAUGUUCUCUCCAUUAGUAAAUAAGCCUUGC